GGCCGCGGGAAUUCGAUUCAGGCCUAACACAUGCAAGUCGAACGAUGAAGCCCAGCUUGCUGGGUGGAUUAGUGGCGAACGGGUGAGUAACACGUGGGUGAUCUGCCCUGCACUCUGGGAUAAGCCUGGGAAACUGGGUCUAAUACCGGAUAUGACCUCUUGCUGCAUGGCGAGGGGUGGAAAGUUUUUCGGUGCAGGAUGAGCCCGCGGCCUAUCAGCUUGUUGGUGGGGUAAUGGCCUACCAAGGCGACGACGGGUAGCCGGCCUGAGAGGGCGACCGGCCACACUGGGACUGAGACACGGCCCAGACUCCUACGGGAGGCAGCAGUGGGGAAUAUUGCACAAUGGGGGAAAGCCUGAUGCAGCGACGCCGCGUGAGGGAUGACAGCGUUCGGGUUGUAAACCUCUUUCAGCAGGGACGAAGCGAAAGUGAC
Molecule: ribosomal RNA, 434 nt
Filed under: uncultured bacterium
Lineage: Bacteria
Description: bacterial SSU rRNA
Rfam family: Bacterial small subunit ribosomal RNA
Source: RNAcentral